RNAcentral lists this long non-coding RNA (522 nucleotides) under Haliotis rubra (blacklip abalone). Its description in RNAcentral is "uncharacterized LOC124272045, transcript variant X1". The record is from RNAcentral. Lineage: Eukaryota; Metazoa; Mollusca; Gastropoda; Lepetellida; Haliotidae.
GGCGAGUGGUGACGAAUGGAUGUCGAAAUGUUCACACGAGUGGGUAUGCUCAAGAUUAAACCUUGGCCCUCAGCGAAUAUUGUUGUAGCUGAGAAGAGAUAACUCCACAGAGACCGGAUGUAAAGCUGCUAAAGACACAUGUAUUAUCCUUGUUCUGAUCAUCUUCAAGCACUACAUACGAAGGCUAAAAGGCACUGUUCCAACCGGCCUUCCGAUAGAGUCAACGGCCUUUACCGCAAUAAACCUGCUGAAUAUUUCAAGCAACUUGUAAAUAAAACCAUGUUGCCACGAAGGAAGGACAACGGCGGGGAUCCACGCUGUCCCAUAAACUGAAAGGUGUGUUCUUCGGGGUGACUCUUUGGAACGGAGGGCUACCAACCAUAUCACCAUACGGAAACACCAGAGUGGUGGUUUCCCUGAAAAGACUCUUUGAUGACUCUGCCAGGCUGUACUUCGCCGAUUUCUACUGUAUGUCAAGUCGAAGCGAUAAUCACUACAUCACAUUGGUCCUUACAAAGAAGG